GGUGUAAGACGGGAGAGGAUGAGAGCUAAUGCGUGGGGAGCGAGAGUUGUUCGGAGUUACUGGGCGUAAAGAGUGUGUAGGCGGUUCGCUAGGUGAGGUGGGAAAUGACCGGGCUUGAGUGGGAGGGUGCUGCGAAAACUGGAGGGAUCGAGUAUGGGGGGGGAAGGCGGAAUUCCUGGUGUAGCGGUGAAAUGCGUAGAUAUCAGGAGGAACACCUGCGAUGUAGACGGCUUUCUGGACCAUCACUGACGCUGAGACACGAAAGCGUGGGGAGCAAACAGGAUUAGAUACCCGGGAGUC
RNAcentral lists this ribosomal RNA (300 nucleotides) under uncultured Lactobacillus sp. RNAcentral describes it as "bacterial SSU rRNA". The stretch from base 53 to 300 matches the Rfam family "Bacterial small subunit ribosomal RNA", at positions 547 to 795 of the family's 1533-position model. The record is from RNAcentral. Lineage: Bacteria; Bacillati; Bacillota; Bacilli; Lactobacillales; Lactobacillaceae.